GAAUGAAAAAACAAAAAAGACAACACCAUGAUGUCCACAUGCCUCUAUAAACAACAAGCCAAACCUUCCUAUUCAAACCCUCCACCCCAUCCCCUUCACUCUCUCUCUCUUUAGACUGUUCCUUUGUGUUUGAGUUCUUGAUCAUGAGCAGCUAGCCACCCCUUUGCCGUCAACUCGUGAUGGCAAAGGGGUGGCACGCGCGUAGCCCAAGACUCACUAUUGUUGUCUGGAGGGAGCUGCUGGUGAUUUUGUCUACUUUUAUCUUUGUCCCAAGGUAAGGAAAUUGCCAUUUUAUUCAAUUUUAUGGUGAUUUUCUAGUUAUGAAUAGGGCAACUUGUAUCCUUUGGCAUUUUCACUUCCCUUUGAGUACUCUCUUAAUGAGCUCUUGGAAGUUUUUAACUAUAGUAAAACAAUAAUUCAAGUAGGAUUUGUGUAGUCCUAUUUGUACUUUGUUGAACAUGUUUGGUGUAUUAAUAAAUGUUGUGUAGUACUUUGGGAAGAACUAGUUGAACAUGUAUUACUAGUAUAUAUUUGGCCAGUACUGGCUAUAAUAAUUAAAGUAUUGUUUUCUGUUAAUGUUUGAAGAGUGUUUAUUAUACAUUGUUGUUGACUUCGUACAUCAUGUUUUUGCGUAUAGAUGUUGCAAUAUAAUAUAAUCAAUAAAUAUUGAAGAGGAUAUGAAAUUUUUUAUUUAUUUUUUUAAAAUGUUUGAUAACUUCAAUUGUUACUUUCAUGCCUCGACGUGAUUGGAAAUGUAUAAAUAUUUUCGUGUGUUUAACAAUGAGGUUUGUUAAGCCAUGUUGGUCACUAUCAUAAUUUGUAGUUUGAUACUUAAUUAAGCUAAUUGCACUUUAUGUUGCAAAAUACCUUGGGUAUAAUAACUUGAAUGGAAUUAUCCUCUUAUCUUGUGAUUACAAGUGUAGAUUGUUCAUUUGUGCCAUUUUCUGACUAAGAGAUGCUGGAUCUUACUUUUUCUUAAAUGUAAUAAUUAUUACGUUGAGCCUUGAAGAAUAGACAAUCACUUGUUAUUACGUUAAAAAUAAAAAAUAAAAAAAUUCAAGAUAAAAUGAAAUGAAUCAAAAUAUAAUUAAGUUUAUAGCGUAUUGUGCAAACACGAUUAGAAAGUGAUUUAACCUGCGUGAUUAGUGGUGAAAGAGGGAUAGGUCCCUAGAAGGAUUUUAGGGAAUAGAAAGGACAAGUGAAUUAUAGAGCUAAUUAAGAUAAGAGGAAAUUAGAGAUUUUGCCCAUUGAGAUUGAGCAUGACGAGCCACAACUGAUCCAAUAUUGAGAUAAAAAAGGAAAAACUUCCUUAGAUUACAACCCCUCACCCCACGCACCCCACCCCCACAAUAUAUAUACACACAUUUUUUGUUUGUGUCAAGACGAAUUUUACACACAUAAUUUAAGCACUCUUUUUCACAGAGUUUGAUAGUCAUAAUGUUAUCAUGAUGUGCUGAAAUAAUGGAGACACAAAAGGUAAUAACAAGUGCUACAUGUACUUAGACUUAGAUUAGCACUACUUAAUACAUACUCCUUGAAUACUAGUAUUCUCUUUGUUUCUAUUUACUUGUCACCCUUCUAAGUUGCACAUGUAGUUAAAAAAUUAUUCAAUAAAAUUAUUCUUAUUUAUUACUCAUCUUUAUUUAAUGCUUUUUUUUUUUUUUAUAAUAUACUAAUAUCUCUUCAUAUUUAUUACAAAGGAUAAAAGUAAAAAAAAAUCGAUUGUGUCUUGAGUUUAUGAAAUGACUAGUAUAAGGAACAUCUAUUUUUAGCAUGCACGACAACUAAUUAGGAAAGGUGAGAGUAUCAAUUUAUGUGACACCAUUUGACUUGACAUAAAAAUUAAGAAAGAAAUGAAAUAUCUUAAAAUUUAUGAUCUAAAACAAGUCUUAGACAUUUAAAUAACUAUAAAUCAUAUCAUUGAAGAUAAAAGAGGUAUUUUGAAAUUAAAUUCUUUUUAAUUACAGAAAGACGGCUCAGUUUCUUUUGAACGAACUGAAAAAAAAUGUAUUACAUAAAUUGAAAUAGAAAGUAUCAAAUUACCAAUAGUAUAAUUCAUAACCACCUAUGUAACUAUAGUCACCUAGUUAAAUGUUAAUAAGUUGUCAUCGAGUGAUAGGGGCGCAAAGGGAUCAAAAAAGAAAGCCACUUCAUCGGAAAAGUAUAUUGAAUAAAUAAAAUUAUUUUUUUAUAUAUAUAAUGAUGUUGAAUCUUCUUAUUUUGUUAUAUAUGUUUACUUCUUAAUAUUUAACAUCCCAUUAAUGAACAUAUUGUAUCCAAUUUUUUAAAGGCAGAGGCGUAAAACAAGACAUUUUAUCUGAUAUGAGGCGAAGCGUAAGUCUCGAGGUGUUGGGGCGUAAGCCCCCCUGGAUGCUUUAAUUUUUAAUAUUUUAUAAAAUAAUAUAAUUAGAAAUAAAAAUUUUAUAAAAAAAAAUAGUUCAUUAUUAAUCAACUCUCACCUUCUUGUAACUCGAAAUAUAUUUACGCCCCGAUAUACCAUAUAUAAUAUUUUAAAAUAGAGAAAAAGAAAUAGCUUAAAAACUCGUCUCCAUGCGACUUGAAAAGAACUAAAAAAAAAGAAAGGAACUAGGAAGAAGAAAGUAGCCUCAGUACCUUUCUUAAGAGCGGCGUGGUCGGCACCCACCGAUAAAUACAUUUGAAAGUGCGACUUUUAAGCUUUCUUUUGCUUUCGAUUUCAAUAUUUAAGUAUUUAUCAAUCAUAUAUUUUAGUAUUAAGCUUAAAUAAUUAGAGAUUUAAUAAGAAAAAAUCAUUUUACAUUGUAACUUUCUAGGCUUACGCCUAAUUUUCGUCUCACGCUCAGGAGAAUGCCUCAAAUCUCGGGGCAUUCUCCUUCCAAUACUAUUGCCUUCCCUCAAUGCCUCGGGGCAUUUUUGGCUAUGUCUCGCCCCAAGGCGAGCCUCAGGACGAACCCCGAACUGCCUUUUAAAACACUGAAUUUAUAUCCACCGUUACUAAUGACUUAUUUUACAUAUCCUCUUAUUAUGUAAAUGUGUUUAAGUAAUAUACACUAUCAAUUAUUAUAAAUAUUUUUUUUACCAUCAUGUCAUCUUUACCUAUUAUUAAAAUGAUAUAUAUUUCACCACCAAAAGAUGUGGUGCAGUGGAUGGGUUGCACUCCCUUAAUCAGAGGUAUCAGGUUUGAGUCUUGGGUACGGAAAAAUCCUUGGUAGGGAGCGCUUCCGCCCGAAUGGGGCCCUACGCGGUGCGAAUCCGGAUUAGUCGAACUCCAAUGCAGGUACUGGUCACCGAAUAAGAAAAAAAAAUGACAUAUAUUUCCGGCACCUAUAUUUCCUAUACCGUUAAAAAUGGUAUGAAGUGUAUGAUGAUAACUAUAUAUCUUCGCGGAUGGAAUUUUUAUCAUCAGACAUUUAUAUUUGUGUUCGAAUAAUUUGAAGAAACUUCUUUUAAUGAACGAUUUCCUUAGAAAGAAAAAAUUGUAUAAUCAUUUAGAAUUUGUCAAGACAAAAACAAAUGCUGUAAGAUCAGAUGGCAGUGCAUGUAUUUGAAUUCAUCAUUAAUGAACUCGACGGAUAAUGUGGAUAAGCAUCAUCACACCUUUUAAUGAAUUUUAUGCAACAAAAAAACAAAUCAAUCGAACCUCAAAAGGUGCGUGAAUACCAAAUAUUAAAUGAGAAAUGUUGGUGACAUUAGAAAAAAACUUGAAUUAGUGCCUAUACCCUCAGCUUAUCCAAUAUGCAUAGUUUCGUGAAGGAGACAAAACACAUUUGAUGUGUCUUAGUACUAGGAAAUUUGAACUCCCCCAGCCGGAUUUGCUUUUUUUUUUUUUUUGCAAGGGGAGGGGGAGGGGGGGUUAAACAUGACUCUUGUGCAUUUCUAAGCUCUAACAAGUUUCAUAAUUUGACAUCUAUUAAGCAUUUGUUUUAGAGAGUUCGAUUAAUUAGGAUUUGAUGUUUCCUUGUGAAAUAAUCGUUAUACCCAAUCAUGGCUGAUCCAUCUGAUAUUGUAUCUUUUAUUUGAAAGGUUGUGUCCUUUCAUUAUUAUUUCUAUUUAGAUCAACUAUCUGAAAAUAUGAAAAGUACAUAGAUAUAACUUUCCUCAAAGCUUUCUUUCUUCCAAUAAAGAGAAAAGACAUCUUUUCCCUCCUGAACUUUUCCUCUAAACUCACUUUAGCACUUAAGCUUAACUUCCGUUUAUUUACCCCUCUUAACAACUUUCAAGUAAAUUAAAUUCACCCUCAAAAUGAAAAUCCCACUCACACGGAGAGUGCACUAUACACGUGUUACGUCAUUGCCAAAUCACUGCCACAUCAGUGUCAUGUCAUUGCCACGUAAUAAAUAAUAUUUUUUUUAAAAAAAAAUCCCAGACACUUAUUUUUUAUAUGUUCUUUUAAAAAAAGAAUAUAUAUAUAUAUAGAUAUAUAUAUUUUAAAUAUAUAUUUUAUAUAAAUAAAAUAGACUCCACCCCCUUCUCUUUUCUUUUUCUUCACAGUCCCCNNNNNNNNNNNNNNNNNNNNNNNNNNNNNNNNNNNNNNNNNNNNNNNNNNNNNNNNNNNNNNNNNNNNNNNNNNNNNNNNNNNNNNNNNNNNNNNNNNNNNNNNNNNNNNNNNNNNNNNNNNNNNNNNNNNNNNNNNNNNNNNNNNNNNNNNNNNNNNNNNNNNNNNNNNNNNNNNNNNNNNNNNNNNNNNNNNNNNNNNNNNNNNNNNNNNNNNNNNNNNNNNNNNNNNNNNNNNNNNNNNNNNNNNNNNNNNNNNNNNNNNNNNNNNNNNNNNNNNNNNNNNNNNNNNNNNNNNNNNNNNNNNNNNNNNNNNNNNNNNNNCACCCCACGCCACCCUACCCCAAUUACUUCUUCUUCUUCAGUACAGCAGCCCCCCAUCCCCCCUUCUUCUUCUUCUUCUUCUUCACAUAAAAACACCCUUUUUUCUCUUUCUUCACCAUUGUUGCAAGCUUUUCAAUGAAUUUUUUUUGUCUUCAUCAAAUAUAAAAUCAACUUGAAUUAACUUGAGCAAAUUCAAUAAUGAACUAAAUACAAGUACAUGAUCACAAAAACAUAUCACUACACAAAAUCUCAAAUCCAAAUUCCUUCACAUUAACCAAAACCCAAAAUUUCAAAACUCCCAAAUUUUUAAUUUUUUACUCAAAAAUGUCUACAGAAAUGGCAUAAACAGUCCGAAAUUCAAAAAUGUCAUAGAUGGUAUUCACAUGACAUGAAAUUCUUGGCCAAGAAUAAAACUUGUUCAUCAAUCUUGAACCCUUUUUUAUUGUUGAAAAAUGAAAUUUUGGAUGAAUUAGGACUUGAUAGGAAGGGGAUUACGAAGAAACGGGGUAGGGGUAUGAAGAAGAUGAAUAAAUAGAGUGUUGGUGGUGAGGGCGGGGGUGGGGGUGAGGAAGGGGAGUGAUGAUGAAGAAGAUAAAGUUAUGCCCUUGACUUCUUUAUAUAUAUAUAUAUAUAUAUAAUAAUAAUAAUAAUAACAAUAAAGUGGGCCUUUUUUUUUAAAAAAAAAAUCACUCGCUUUUUUUUGGCCACGUCAACUGUAAGGGUGAAUUUAAUUCAUUUGAAAGUUUUUAAGGGGGGUUAAUAAAUGAAAAUUAAGUUUAAAUGCUAAAGUGCGUUUGGAGGACAAGUUCAGGGGGGAAAACAUGUCUUUUCUCUUCCAAAAAAGAUCAAGUCUUGACUUUUUUCUUUCCAAAAGAAUUUCUUCACUAUUUGCUUAGUGCAGAAUUCAAUAGGUUUGUCAUAUCCACUAAAACUAUUGCGUUAAAUCUCAUAGCAAUCUUGCAGAAGAGAGGGAGAAAAUAUUAUUUUUAGGAAAGCGUUUCAGGCGUGUUUCAAGCCUCUAAUCCUGUUUUCAAUAUUCAUAUCACUAAUCUUUAUCUUUGUCUUCUUCUUCGUAUAUUUUUAUAUGUGUUCAUGGAACAUAUUUUCCAACAAUCUAAAAACGAUAUUUCACAAGAAGAGAUAUCCGUUUUGAUUAUGCUAUGUCUGACUCAUUUCAUAAGCCAAAGGAACGGCAGAUUAUAUAUGGAAAAGGUUGAAGAGGAAGAAACAGUAGAAUUGUACAAACAAUAAUGGUUGAAUGAGACUCGGUGGCCUUUUGUCUCUUCUAAAUUGAAAGUGCACUCAUUUAGUGGUGAUAAGAUAUCUGGAAGGAUAUAGUGUUAGCGUUGUGACCCAAAUUUUGUUGAUCUGGCCUAGAAAGUUUCGUGGUGCGACCCAUGUUGGUGAUUUUCAAUGGGGUCUGUAGUGGUAGUGUAGGGAUUGGGCGGACAGGCUCGAUAUAGACCUUUAUGUUUUUGGGCCUAGGACUUAUUUGUAUGCACAUAUUAUAUAAGUGCAUUUAGUGGGUUAUUUUGGGCAUUCAGGAAAUUCAGGCUUCUCCAUAUUGUACUCUAUCUCCAUUAUAGUGAAACCUCCUUUGCCUCUGCCCAUGGUUUUUCCUGCAAGGGUUUCCACAUAAAUCUGUGUGUUAUUCUUAUUUUCUUUUACUUAUGGUUUGUUUAUUCUGUUUGAAUCAGAACAAACUGGUAUCAAAGCUUGUUCAAUUGUUUUCUCGGAAUGACAACCAUGAAGUAUGAUAUUUCGUUGUUGGAUCGCAACACUAGAUUUUUGUUAUGGCAGGUUAAGAUGCGG
RNAcentral lists this long non-coding RNA (6609 nucleotides) under Capsicum annuum. RNAcentral's name for it is "long non-coding RNA (CANN_LNC016435)". Lineage: Eukaryota; Viridiplantae; Streptophyta; Magnoliopsida; Solanales; Solanaceae. The record is from RNAcentral.